RNAcentral lists this small RNA (79 nucleotides) under Cercocebus atys (sooty mangabey). Its description in RNAcentral is "Y RNA (ENSCATG00000000735.1)". It matches the Rfam family "Y RNA", at positions 11 to 83 of the family's 96-position model. From Rfam's summary of the family: Y RNAs are components of the Ro ribonucleoprotein particle (Ro RNP), in association with Ro60 and La proteins. The Y RNAs and Ro60 and La proteins are well conserved, but the function of the Ro RNP is not known. In humans the RNA component can be one of four small RNAs -- hY1, hY3, hY4 and hY5. Lineage: Eukaryota; Metazoa; Chordata; Mammalia; Primates; Cercopithecidae. The record is from Rfam by way of RNAcentral.
AAAGCAGUGGUGUUUACAACUAAUUGAUCAUAUCCCGUUAUGGAUUUAUUUGUUUCCUUUCCACUCCCACUGCUUCACU